Molecule: ribosomal RNA, 151 nt
Filed under: uncultured bacterium
Lineage: Bacteria
Description: partial 16S ribosomal RNA
Rfam family: Bacterial small subunit ribosomal RNA
Source: RNAcentral
UAAGCUAUCACUGAAGGAGGGGGAUUGCGUCUGAUUAGCUAGUUGGAGGGGGUAACGGGCCCACCAAGGCGAUGAUCAGUAGCCGGUCUGAGAGGAUGAACGGCCACAUUGGGACUGAGACACGGCCCAGACUCCUACGGGAGGCAGCAUG